Molecule: ribosomal RNA, 253 nt
Filed under: uncultured bacterium
Lineage: Bacteria
Description: partial 16S ribosomal RNA
Rfam family: Bacterial small subunit ribosomal RNA
Source: RNAcentral
GACGUAGGUGGCGAACGUUAUCCGGAAUUAUUGGGCGUAAAGGGUGCGUAGACUGUUAAAUAAGUUAGUGGUGGUAAAUCAGAGCUCAACUCUGUGGAAGUCGCUAAUACUGUUUAACUUGAGGGCAGGAGAGGUUAACGGAACUCCUAUGGAGCGGUGAAAUGUGUAGAUAUAGAGAGGAACACCAAAAGGCGAAGGCAGUUAACUAUUCUGUUCCUGACGUUGAGGCACGAAAGCGUGGGGAGCGAAAAGG